Molecule: ribosomal RNA, 252 nt
Filed under: uncultured bacterium
Lineage: Bacteria
Description: partial 16S ribosomal RNA
Rfam family: Bacterial small subunit ribosomal RNA
Source: RNAcentral
UACGUAAGGACCGAGCGUUGUCCGGAAUCAUUGGGCGUAAAGGGUACGUAGGCGGUUAGAAAAGUUAGAAGUGAAAUGCUAUAGCUUAACGAUAGUAAGCUUUUAAAACUGCUCAUCUUGAGGUAUGGAAUGGAAAGUGGAAUGUCUAGUGUAGCGGUGAAAUGCGCAGAUAUUAGGAGGAAUACCGGUUGCGAAGGCGACUUUCUGGCCAUAAACUGACGCUGAGGUACGAAAGCGUGGGUAGCAAACAGG